GACAGCACAGGCAGGGGGUGUGAGGACCAGGUCACCUUAACGGGCUCUGGUGCCGCACAACCAGUGCCCGUCAGGCAGCAGCAGAAGCCUGGCCCAGCCGCUGGGGACCUCACAGUCCAGAGACCCUUCCCACUGGCUGCUGCCCCCUCGCGCCUGCAAGGGGAGCGGAGUCCCGCCUGCAGCGUCGUCUUCUCAGGCCUCAGGCUCCUUUCACGUGACAUUUCAGACGCAACAUCCAGACCACAAGUAAUGAGGCCCAUGGGGAAACUAGAAACUGCAUGGGAACCCAUGAGGACUGCAGCCCACGGCCACACAGAAGCGUGAGGGACCCUUCCGAUCUGGAAACGAACCAGAUGCGAGGAGACACCUGAAAACUACAAAACCCCAAAACAGGUCCUGCACAAAUACACGCGCAGGGAUGACCCGUCUCAGACACCAGCAGGUGGAGAUAGGCCCGAGCGAUGGCGCAAAGGCAGGAACGGCUGCCGGUGCAGGGGUGCAGCAGGCACGGCGGGAUCCCCGAGAAUUGGGGGCGUGGGGGGAGCUAGUGCCCCGAGGACAAAACCCCAAGAGGUGGGACAGCUAAAAACUUCCUAGAACAAAUGAAAGCCAAGGGAACCACAGAGCCGAGUUUAACAAAUCCCCAUUAAGACACAUGUAGGAAACCUGACAGCCAGGCACAUGAGCAGAGUAACUACAGGGA
Myotis davidii is the source of this 703-nucleotide long non-coding RNA. RefSeq lists it as uncharacterized. Lineage: Eukaryota; Metazoa; Chordata; Mammalia; Chiroptera; Vespertilionidae. The record is from RefSeq and is a predicted model, not a curated record. The transcript has 3 exons.